Molecule: transfer RNA, 67 nt
Filed under: Brotogeris cyanoptera
Lineage: Eukaryota; Metazoa; Chordata; Aves; Psittaciformes; Psittacidae
Description: tRNA-Thr
Rfam family: tRNA
About the family: Transfer RNA (tRNA) molecules are approximately 80 nucleotides in length. Their secondary structure includes four short double-helical elements and three loops (D, anti-codon, and T loops).
Source: RNAcentral
ACUCUAAUAGUUUAUAAAAACAUUGGUCUUGUAAACCAAAAGAUGAAGAUUGCCCCUUCUUAGAGUU